ACGAACGCUGGCGGCAUGCCUAACACAUGCAAGUCGAACGAGACCCCUGUCUUCGGAUGGCGGGUCUAGUGGCGCACGGGUGCGUAACGCGUGGGAAUCUACCCUUGGGUUCGGAAUAACAGUUGGAAACGACUGCUAAUACCGGAUGAUGACUUCGGUCCAAAGAUUUAUCGCCCAGGGAUGAGCCCGCGUAGGAUUAGCUUGUUGGUGAGGUAAAGGCUCACCAAGGCGACGAUCCCUAGCUGGUCUGAGAGGAUGAUCAGCCACACUGGGACUGAGACACGGCCCAGACUCCUACGGGAGGCAGCAGUGGGGAAUAUUGGACAAUGGGGGAAACCCUGAUCCAGCCAUGCCGCGUGAGUGAUGAAGGCCUUCGGGUUGUAAAGCUCUUUCGGCGGGGACGAUAAUGACGGUACCCGCAGAAGAAGCCCCGGCUAACUUCGUGCCAGCCGCCGCGGUAAU
Molecule: ribosomal RNA, 462 nt
Filed under: uncultured bacterium
Lineage: Bacteria
Description: bacterial SSU rRNA
Rfam family: Bacterial small subunit ribosomal RNA
Source: RNAcentral